RNAcentral lists this ribosomal RNA (253 nucleotides) under uncultured bacterium. RNAcentral describes it as "partial 16S ribosomal RNA". It matches the Rfam family "Bacterial small subunit ribosomal RNA", at positions 524 to 776 of the family's 1533-position model. The record is from RNAcentral.
UACGGGGGGGGCAAGCGUUGUUCGGAAUUACUGGGCGUAAAGGGCUCGUAGGCGGCCAACUAAGUCAUACGUGAAAUCCCCAGGCUCAACCUGGGAACUGCGUCUGAUACUGGUUGGCUUGAAUCCGGGAGAGGGAUGCAGAAUUCCAGGUGUAGCGGUGAAAUGCGUAGAUAUCUGGAGGAACACCGAUGGCGAAGGCAAUCCCCUGGGCCUGCACUGACGCUCAUGCACGAAAGCGUGGGGAGCAAACAGG